UGGUCGUCUUCCUCGUGGCAGACCGCAGACUCCACCGGGUAGUGCAGCGGCGUACUGCUCGCCGUUCAUUGAUGCCUAGGCCAUCCAGGCCGUUCCCCUACCCCUACUUAAGCCUCCCUGGAGCUUCAGCCCCAUUUUCCCCCUCUUCCCCGACCUCCUGUAACCCUAGAUCGACCGAGCCGCCUCGACGCCAUUGCCGCCGGCGAGUUCCGUGCAGGCAAGCUCCGAGGAUCCUGUUUGCGUCAGUUUGUUCGCCUUGCUAUGCUGUUUCUCAGGGACCGGAUUUCUCGCUGUAUCUCGUAGCAACCAAUGAGAUCAGGUAUCAUCUUCUCCGACUCCGACCACACUCCGGUGACGUGUCCGACAGUUCCGAUGGUCACCUGCAUCGAGCUGCUGGCCUGCUGCCCUGAACUGAACGCCAUCGUCAACCUGCUGCCAACGACAUUGACCACCGGAGCCUCUUCCUCCUUGGUUGACUUUUGCAUUGGGUUUAUGGUGAUGAGGAGGGUGUGAAUUGUGAGAACGACAAUUCACUGUACCAGCAGGGUGAUAAAGGCUUGCGAGACCAAGGGACUAUAAACAGCCAUGGAAUUUCAGCAUCAAGCUAGUGCGGGUGUACCUCGGCAGCUCGCUCGAUGACAUGCCGCCAAGCUGCAGUGCCUUCUCCUCACCUCAUGUGCAUCAGUGUCGAUGAGCUCCACCGCUUACCACCCUCUAAAGAUGCCCGUGGCCGCAGACGUCCUGGCAGAGAAGAAGAUAUGGACCAGAUGCUGGCUAGGUUUGCUUCUGUGGCGCUGGUGCUAACUGGACUGCUGCCGGUAUUACAAUGUCUAGACAGCUGCCAGUAUUACAAAGUUUCUUAUUCCUAGAGAAGUUAUCAAGGUAGCUUGCUUGGCGUUAGGCAUUUUAAACCGUUGAGAACAAAUGAUGCGGAACUAAGCCAUUGAUCUCCGUGAAUGUGAAUUACUGGGAUAAUUUUAGGAACUUCUCUUUGUUUCUGGAUAUAUGUCUACACCAAUUUUCACUUGGGUAGUCAAAUUUUUAGAUUGGUUCAUGUUGAUGGACUCAGUUUAUAAGAGGUACAGUGCUUGUUGUUAUAUUCUAAAUAUUGCUUGGUUGGCUGCUUAACCGUUGCAUCGUGGCAGUAAAUAUUGCUCAAUUGUUGUGGACAGUUGAGAAAACACGUUUACCAGCUUGCGGUGAUCGUGUAUGACAGUAUGAGGGUGUGCGCAUACUCUGGCUCAUGAGUUAGGGGGUCCAUGCCUCCAACGCUGGCACCAGCGGCAAAUAUAUCUCUCAAGGUCGAGAAACCUGAGCACGGACGGCCUCCUGGAGCAGCUUCCCAUGCUGCUAUAGUUGCUCUUCUAGCUCAUCAGCUGCUAUAUUUUGCAAAGAAUCAAAAUUAAUUUCCGCAUGUGAUGCUUAUAGAUUAGGUUAUUUGUGGUGUUCUCUUGUCUUCAUGGAGUAACACAGGUGGUUGCUAUGGCUGAUCUCAAAUGGAACUUAGGAGGAUCGUGGCCGACGCCAUCAUAGAGAAGGGCAAGUACAUCGAGCCAAGGUAAACUGCCCGCCAGCCACCCCGAAUGUAUCCGGCUCAACAACUACUAUAUCUCCCAGAAGUUCUAUCUUAACAUCUUCACCUCCGGCUGUGUUGAUUCUGGCCUUAUCUGCCGCCUCACAACCUGUAUGCUGCCACCAUCAUGAGAUCAGGUGCUUGGGGAUGAAUCUCAACAUCGCUGUUGAUCUACAUGUCUGUUUCCCUCUCUCUGUUUUUUUUUAUGUGUGUGU
Molecule: long non-coding RNA, 1788 nt
Organism: Lolium rigidum
Lineage: Eukaryota; Viridiplantae; Streptophyta; Magnoliopsida; Poales; Poaceae
Exons: 8
Source: RefSeq, a predicted model, not a curated record